Molecule: transfer RNA, 90 nt
Filed under: Alphaproteobacteria bacterium
Lineage: Bacteria; Pseudomonadati; Pseudomonadota; Alphaproteobacteria
Description: tRNA-Ser
Rfam family: tRNA
About the family: Transfer RNA (tRNA) molecules are approximately 80 nucleotides in length. Their secondary structure includes four short double-helical elements and three loops (D, anti-codon, and T loops).
Source: RNAcentral
GGAUGAGUGGCAGAGUGGUUGAAUGCACCGCACUCGAAAUGCGGCAUACUUUUAAAGGUAUCGGGAGUUCGAAUCUCCCCUCAUCCGCCA